UGCAAGUCGAGCGGUAAGGCCUUUCGGGGUACACGAGCGGCGAACGGGUGAGUAACACGUGGGUGAUCUGCCCUGCACUCUGGGAUAAGCUUGGGAAACUGGGUCUAAUACCGGAUAUGACUACAGCAUGCAUGUGUUGUGGUGGAAAGAUUUAUCGGUGCAGGAUGGGCCCGCGGCCUAUCAGCUUGUUGGUGGGGUAAUGGCCUACCAAGGCGACGACGGGUAGCCGACCUGAGAGGGUGACCGGCCACACUGGGACUGAGACACGGCCCAGACUCCUACGGGAGGCAGCAGUGGGGAAUAUUGCACAAUGGGCGGAAGCCUGAUGCAGCGACGCCGCGUGAGGGAUGAAGGCCUUCGGGUUGUAAACCUCUUUCAGCAGGGACGAAGCGUGAGUGACGGUACCUGCAGAAGAAGCACCGGCUAACUACGUGCCAGCAGCCGCGGUAAUACGUAGGGUGCGAGCGUUGUCCGGAAUUACUGGGCGUAAAGAGUUCGUAGGCGGUUUGUCGCGUCGUUUGUGAAAACCCGGGGCUCAACUUCGGGCUUGCAGGCGAUACGGGCAGACUUGAGUGUUUCAGGGGAGACUGGAAUUCCUGGUGUAGCGGUGAAAUGCGCAGAUAUCAGGAGGAACACCGGUGGCGAAGGCGGGUCUCUGGGAAACAACUGACGCUGAGGAACGAAAGCGUGGGUAGCAAACAGGAUUAGAUACCCUGGUAGUCCACGCCGUAAACGGUGGGCGCUAGGUGUGGGUUCCUUCCACGGGAUCUGUGCCGUAGCUAACGCAUUAAGCGCCCCGCCUGGGGAGUACGGCCGCAAGGCUAAAACUCAAAGGAAUUGACGGGGG
RNAcentral lists this ribosomal RNA (847 nucleotides) under Rhodococcoides fascians. RNAcentral describes it as "bacterial SSU rRNA". It matches the Rfam family "Bacterial small subunit ribosomal RNA", at positions 56 to 919 of the family's 1533-position model. The record is from RNAcentral. Lineage: Bacteria; Bacillati; Actinomycetota; Actinomycetes; Mycobacteriales; Nocardiaceae.